Anopheles funestus (African malaria mosquito) is the source of this 927-nucleotide long non-coding RNA. RefSeq lists it as uncharacterized. The transcript has 3 exons. The record is from RefSeq and is a predicted model, not a curated record. NCBI's taxonomy places the organism in Eukaryota, Metazoa, Arthropoda, Insecta, Diptera, Culicidae.
UGUCUCGGCUAAUGUGUCAUGGCUAAGGUGUCUUGGCUAAUGUGUCUUGGCUAAUGUGUCUUGGCUAAUGUGUCUCGGCUAAUGUGUCUUGGCUAAGGUGUCUUGGCUAAGGUGUUUUGGCUAAUGUGUCUUGGCUUAGGUGUCUUGGCUAAUGUGUCUUGGCUAAUGUGUCUUGGCUAAUGUGUCUUGGCUAAGGUGUCUUGGCUAAGGUGUCUUGGCUAAUGUGUCUUGGCUAAUGUGUCUUGGCUAAUGUGUCUUGGCUAAUGUGUCUUGGCUAAGGUGUCUUGGCUAAUGUGUCUCGGCUAAGGUGUCUUGGCAAAGGUGUCUUGGCUAAUGUGUCUUGGAUAAUGUGUCUUGGCUAAUGUGUCUUGGCUAAGGUGUCUCGGCUAAUGUGUCUUGGCUAAUGUGUCUUGGCUAAGGUGUCUUGGCUAAUGUGUCUUGGCUAAUGUGUCUUGGCUAAUGUGUCUUGGCUAAUGUGUCUUGGCUAAGGUGUCUUGGCUAAGGUGUCUUGGCUAAUGUGUCUUGGCUAAGGUGUCUUGGCUAAGGUGUCUUGGCUAAGGUGUCUUGGCUAAGGUGUCUUGGCUAAUGUGUCUUGGCUAAAGUGUCUUUUCUAAUGUGUCUUGGCUAAUGUGUCUUGGCUAAGGUGUCUUGGCUAAUGUGUCUCGUCUAAUGUGUCUUGGCUAAUGUGUCUUGGCUAAGGUGUCUUGGCUAAUGUGUCUUGGCUAAUGUGUCUUGGCUAAUGUGUCUCGGCUAAUGUGUCUUGGCUAAGGUGUGUUGGCUAAUGUGUCUUGGCUAAUGUGCCUUGGCUAAAGUGUCUUGGCUAAUGUGUCUUGGCUAAUGUGUCUUGGCUAAUGUGUCUUGGCUAAUGUGUCUUGGCUAAGGUGUCUUGGCUAAUGUGUCUUGGCUAAGGUGUCUUGGCUAAUGUGU